RNAcentral lists this transfer RNA (76 nucleotides) under bacterium. Its description in RNAcentral is "tRNA-Ala". It matches the Rfam family "tRNA". From Rfam's summary of the family: Transfer RNA (tRNA) molecules are approximately 80 nucleotides in length. Their secondary structure includes four short double-helical elements and three loops (D, anti-codon, and T loops). RNAcentral also lists the same sequence under 4 other names. The record is from RNAcentral.
GGGGCUAUAGCUCAGCUGGGAGAGCGCGUGACUGGCAGUCACGAGGUCCGCGGUUCGAUCCCGCGUAGCUCCACCA